RNAcentral lists this ribosomal RNA (459 nucleotides) under uncultured bacterium. RNAcentral's name for it is "partial 16S ribosomal RNA". It matches the Rfam family "Bacterial small subunit ribosomal RNA", at positions 338 to 795 of the family's 1533-position model. The record is from RNAcentral.
CCUACGGGUGGCAGCAGUGAGGAAUAUUGGUCAAUGGCCGGAAGGCUGAACCAGCCAAGCCGCGUGAAGGACGAAGGUGCCAAGCAUUGUAAACUUCUUUUGUCAAGGGACAAAAGCAGGCGCGAGAGAGUGACCGAGGGUACUUGAAGAAAAAGCAUCGGCUAACACCGUGCCGGCAGCCGCGGUAAUAUGGGGGAUGCGAGCGUUAUCCGGUUUUAUGGGGUUUAAGGGGUGCGUAGGCGGACUGUUAGGUCAGCGGUAAAAGCCCGGGGCUCAACCCCGGCGAGCCGUUGAAACUGGGUGUCUUGAGAUGUCGAGAGGUAUGCGGAAUGCGCAGUGUAGCGGUGAAAUGCUUAGAUAUUGCGCAGAACUCCGAUUGCGAAGGCAGCAUACCGGCGGCGAUCUGACGCUGAGGCACGAAAGCGUGGGUAUCGAACAGGAUUAGAUACCCUUGUAGUC